RNAcentral lists this ribosomal RNA (214 nucleotides) under uncultured bacterium. RNAcentral describes it as "partial 16S ribosomal RNA". It matches the Rfam family "Bacterial small subunit ribosomal RNA", at positions 1279 to 1500 of the family's 1533-position model. The record is from RNAcentral.
AACCCUGUCUCAGUUCGGAUUGGAGUCUGCAACCCGACUCCAUGAAGCUGGAUUCGCUAGUAAUCGCGCAUCAGCCACGGCGCGGUGAAUACGUUCCCGGGCCUUGUACACACUGCCCGUCAAGCCAUGGAAGCCGGGAGUGCCUGAAGUGCGUGAGCGCAAGCAGCGCCCUAAGGUAAAACCGGUGACUGGGGCUAAGUCGUAACAAGGUAGC